RNAcentral lists this transfer RNA (74 nucleotides) under Cantharellus cibarius (golden chanterelle). Its description in RNAcentral is "tRNA-His". It matches the Rfam family "tRNA". Rfam says of the family: Transfer RNA (tRNA) molecules are approximately 80 nucleotides in length. Their secondary structure includes four short double-helical elements and three loops (D, anti-codon, and T loops). The record is from RNAcentral. Lineage: Eukaryota; Fungi; Basidiomycota; Agaricomycetes; Cantharellales; Hydnaceae. RNAcentral also lists the same sequence under 2 other names.
GGUAGAAUUAGUUUAAUUGGUAAAACUACAUCCUGUGGCGAUGCUAGAUUCCAGUUCGAAUCUGGAACUCUGCC